AUGAACGCUGGCGGCGUGCCUAAUACAUGCAAGUCGAGCGAACAGACGAGGAGCUUGCUCCUCUGACGUUAGCGGCGGACGGGUGAGUAACACGUGGAUAACCUACCUAUAAGACUGGGAUAACUUCGGGAAACCGGAGCUAAUACCGGAUAACAUGUUGAACCGCAUGGUUCAACAGUGAAAGACGGUCUUGCUGUCACUUAUAGAUGGAUCCGCGCCGCAUUAGCUAGUUGGUAAGGUAACGGCUUACCAAGGCAACGAUGCGUAGCCGACCUGAGAGGGUGAUCGGCCACACUGGAACUGAGACACGGUCCAGACUCCUACGGGAGGCAGCAGUAGGGAAUCUUCCGCAAUGGGCGAAAGCCUGACGGAGCAACGCCGCGUGAGUGAAGAAGGUCUUCGGAUCGUAAAACUCUGUUAUUAGGGAAGAACAAAUGUGUAAGUAACUAUGCACGUCCUGACGGUACCUAAUCAGAAAGCCACGGCUAACUACGUG
Molecule: ribosomal RNA, 496 nt
Filed under: uncultured bacterium
Lineage: Bacteria
Description: partial 16S ribosomal RNA
Rfam family: Bacterial small subunit ribosomal RNA
Source: RNAcentral